This 1282-nucleotide ribosomal RNA is filed under the name Asellus aquaticus. RNAcentral's name for it is "bacterial LSU rRNA". It matches the Rfam family "Bacterial large subunit ribosomal RNA", at positions 1182 to 2489 of the family's 2925-position model. Lineage: Eukaryota; Metazoa; Arthropoda; Malacostraca; Isopoda; Asellidae. The record is from RNAcentral.
AUAAGUAUAAUACCGAAGCUAUGGAUUUGUAAUUUAUUACAAGUGGUAGGGGAGCAUUCUAUUCGACGUUGAAGCAGCCUGGUGAUGGGUUGUGGAGUUUAUAGAAAAGAAAAUGUAGGCAUAAGUAACGAUAAUGCGGGUGAGAAACCCGCACACCGAAAGACUAAGGUUUCCUCAGCUAUGCUAAUCAGCUGAGGGUUAGUCGGGACCUAAGGCGUAGCCGAGAGGCGAAGUCGAUGGAUAACGGGUUAAUAUUCCCGUACUUGCUCUAAUGUGAUGGGGUGACGGAGAAAUGACACUGCUGCGUGCUGACGGAAUAGCACGUUGAACCAAGUAGGUAUAAGACUGAUAGUUAAAUGCGUCAGACUUGCUGAAUUGGGAUAGUACACGAAAUCUUCGGAUGGAGUGAUAAUGCAGGUAAAGGCUUCCAAGAAAAACCUCUAAACUUCAGUUAGACGCAACUCGUACCGUAAACCGACACAGGUAGUUGGGAUGAGUAUUCUAAGGUGCUUGAGUGAAUCAUGGCUAAGGAACUAGGCAAAAUAGACCCGUAACUUCGGGAGAAGGGUCGCUGGCAGCAAUGUCAGCCGCAGUGAAAAGGCCCAGGCGACUGUUUAUCAAAAACACAGGACUCUGCUAAGUUGAAAGAUGAUGUAUAGGGUCUGACACCUGCCCGGUGCUGGAAGGUUAAGGAAGGAUGUUAUCUUCGGAGAAGCAUUUGACUGAAGCCCCAGUAAACGGCGGCCGUAACAAUAACGGUCCUAAGGUAGCGAAAUUCCUUGUCGGGUAAGUUCCGACCUGCACGAAUGGUGUAACGAUCUGGGCACUGUCUCGGCCAUGAGCUCAGUGAAAUUGUAGUAUCGGUGAAGAUGCCGGUUACUCGCAAUGGGACGAAAAGACCCUGUGAACCUUUACUAUAGCUUCGUAUUGACUUUGGAUACCGCAUGUGUAGGAUAGGUGGGAGAAAUUGAAGUGGCGUCGCUAGGCGUCAUGGAUUCAUUGUUGAAAUACCACCCUUGCGUUAUUUGAAGCCUAACUCCGUAAGGAGGACAUUGCGUGGUGGGUAGUUUGACUGGGGUGGUCGCCUCCAAAAGAGUAACGGAGGCUUCCAAAGGUACCCUCAGUACGGUUGGUAAUCGUACGUAGAGUGUAAUGGCAUAAGGGUGCUUGACUGUGAGACCAACAAGUCGAACAGGGACGAAAGUCGGGCAUAGUGAUCCGGUGGUUCCGCAUGGAAGGGCCAUCGCCAAAAAAGAAAAGUACUCUGCGUUUGGCCGCUCGU